This 243-nucleotide ribosomal RNA is filed under the name uncultured Actinomycetales bacterium. RNAcentral describes it as "partial 16S ribosomal RNA". It matches the Rfam family "Bacterial small subunit ribosomal RNA", at positions 88 to 334 of the family's 1533-position model. Lineage: Bacteria; Bacillati; Actinomycetota; Actinomycetes; Actinomycetales. The record is from RNAcentral.
UACUCGAGUGGCGAACGGGUGAGUAACACGUGGGUGAUCUGCCCUGCACUUCGGGAUAAGCUUGGGAAACUGGGUCUAAUACCGGAUAGGAGCCAUCUUUAGUGUGGUGGCUGGAAAGUUUUUUCGGUGUAGGAUGAGCUCGCGGCCUAUCAGCUUGUUGGUGGGGUAAUGGCCUACCAAGGCGGCGACGGGUAGCCGGCCUGAGAGGGUGUACGGCCACAUUGGGACUGAGAUACGGCCCAG